UGCGCGGAAGAUGUAACGGGGCUAAACCAUGCACCGAAGCUGCGGCAGCGACACCGUGUGUUGUUGGGUAGGGGAGCGUUCUGUAAGCCUGUGAAGGUGUGCUGUGAGGCAUGCUGGAGGUAUCAGAAGUGCGAAUGCUGACAUAAGUAACGAUAAAGCGGGUGAAAAGCCCGCUCGCCGGAAGACCAAGGGUUCCUGUCCAACGUUAAUCGGGGCAGGGUGAGUCGACCCCUAAGGCGAGGCCGAAAGGCGUAGUCGAUGGGAAACGGGUUAAUAUUCCCGUACUUGGUGUUACUGCGAAGGGGGGACGGAGAAGGCUAUGUUGGCCGGGCGACGGUUGUCCCGGUUUAAGCGUGUAGGUAUGUGUUCCAGGUAAAUCCGGUUCACUUUAACACUGAGGCGUGACGACGAGGCACUACGGUGCUGAAGCAACAAAUGCCCUGCUUCCAGGAAAAGCCUCUAAGCAUCAGGUAACAUCAAAUCGUACCCCAAACCGACACAGGUGGUCAGGUAGAGAAUACCAAGGCGCUUGAGAGAACUCGGGUGAAGGAACUAGGCAAAAUGGUGCCGUAACUUCGGGAGAAGGCACGCUGACACGUAGGUGAAGUGAUUUACUCACGGAGCUGAAGUCAGCCGAAGAUACCAGCUGGCUGCAACUGUUUAUUAAAAACACAGCACUGUGCAAACACGAAAGUGGACGUAUACGGUGUGACGCCUGCCCGGUGCCGGAAGGUUAAUUGAUGGGGUCAGCGCAAGCGAAGCUCCUGAUCGAAGCCCCGGUAAACGGCGGCCGUAACUAUAACGGUCCUAAGGUAGCGAAAUUCCUUGUCGGGUAAGUUCCGACCUGCACGAAUGGCGUAAUGAUGGCCAGGCUGUCUCCACCCGAGACUCAGUGAAAUUGAACUCGCUGUGAAGAUGCAGUGUACCCGCGGCAAGACGGAAAGACCCCGUGAACCUUUACUAUAGCUUGACACUGAACAUUGAGCCUUGAUGUGUAGGAUAGGUGGGAGGCUUUGAAGUGUGGACGCCAGUCUGCAUGGAGCCGACCUUGAAAUACCACCCUUUAAUGUUUGAUGUUCUAACGUGGACCCGUGAUCCGGGUUGCGGACAGUGUCUGGUGGGUAGUUUGACUGGGGCGGUCUCCUCCUAAAGAGUAACGGAGGAGCACGAAGGUUGGCUAAUCCUGGUCGGACAUCAGGAGGUUAGUGCAAUGGCAUAAGCCAGCUUGACUGCGAGCGUGACGGCGCGAGCAGGUGCGAAAGCAGGUCAUAGUGAUCCGGUGGUUCUGAAUGGAAGGGCCAUCGCUCAACGGAUAAAAGGUACUCCGGGGAUAACAGGCUGAUACCGCCCAAGAGUUCAUAUCGACGGCGGUGUUUGGCACCUCGAUGUCGGCUCAUCACAUCCUGGGGCUGAAGUAGGUCCCAAGGGUAUGGCUGUUCGCCAUUUAAAGUGGUACGCGAGCUGGGUUUAGAACGUCGUGAGACAGUUCGGUCCCUAUCUGCCGUGGGCGCUGGAGAACUGAGGGGGGCUGCUCCUAGUACGAGAGGACCGGAGUGGACGCAUCACUGGUGUUCGGGUUGUCAUGCCAAUGGCACUGCCCGGUAGCUAAAUGCGGAAGAGAUAAGUGCUGAAAGCAUCUAAGCACGAAACUUGCCCCGAGAUGAGUUCUCCCUGAGACUUUAGGUCUCCUGAAGGAACGUUGAAGACGACGACGUUGAUAGGCCGGGUGUGUAAGCGCAGCGAUGCGUUGAGCUAACCGGUACUAAUGAACCGUGAGGCUUAACCUUACAACGCCGAAG
This 1799-nucleotide ribosomal RNA is filed under the name Salmonella enterica subsp. enterica serovar Typhi str. CT18. RNAcentral describes it as "partial 23S ribosomal RNA". It matches the Rfam family "Bacterial large subunit ribosomal RNA", at positions 1160 to 2925 of the family's 2925-position model. The record is from RNAcentral. Lineage: Bacteria; Pseudomonadati; Pseudomonadota; Gammaproteobacteria; Enterobacterales; Enterobacteriaceae.